GAUGAACGCUAGCGGCAGGCCUAAUACAUGCAAGUCGAACGGUAGAUCGGGUAGCAAUACUUGAUUGAGAGUGACGUAAGGGUGCGUAACACGUAUGCAAUCUACCCUCAACAGGAGUAUAGCUCGGGGAAACUCGGAUUAACACUCCAUAACAUUACGAUGUGGCAUCACAUUGUGAUUAAAACUCCGGUGGUUGAGGAUGAGCAUGCGUCUGAUUAGUUAGUUGGAGGUGUAACGGACCCCCAAGACGAUGAUCAGUAGGGGAACUGAGAGGUUGAUCCCCCACACUGGCACUGAGAUACGGGCCAGACUCCUACGGGAGGCAGCAGUAGGGAAUAUCGGUCAAUGGGUGAGAGCCUGAACCAGCCAUGCCGCGUGCAGGAAGACGGCCUUCUGGGUUGUAAACUGCUUUUAUCUGGGGAUAAAAAGCCCAUGCGUGGGACAUUGAAGGUACCAGAUGAAUAAGCACCGGCUAACUACGUGCCAG
RNAcentral lists this ribosomal RNA (487 nucleotides) under uncultured bacterium. RNAcentral's name for it is "bacterial SSU rRNA". It matches the Rfam family "Bacterial small subunit ribosomal RNA", at positions 28 to 511 of the family's 1533-position model. The record is from RNAcentral.